RNAcentral lists this ribosomal RNA (517 nucleotides) under uncultured bacterium. RNAcentral's name for it is "bacterial SSU rRNA". It matches the Rfam family "Bacterial small subunit ribosomal RNA", at positions 8 to 502 of the family's 1533-position model. The record is from RNAcentral.
AGAGUUUGAUCCUGGCUCAGAGCGAACGUUAGCGGCGGGCUUAACACAUGCAAGUCGAGCGAGAACGGGACUUUCGGGUCCUUAUUAAAGCGGCGCACGGGUGAGUAACACGUGGGUAAUCUGCCCUUUGGCGGGGGACAACCACUCGAAAGGGUGGCUAAUACCGCAUAAGUCAUUCGGGACUGCGGUCCUGAAUGGGAAAGCUGGCCUCUUCUUGAAAGCCGGCACCAAAGGAGGAGCCCGCGGCGCAUCAGCUUGUUGGUGGGGUAACGGCCUACCAAGGCAAAGACGCGUAGCUGGUCUGAGAGGAUGAUCAGCCACACUGGGACUGAGACACGGCCCAGACUCCUACGGGAGGCAGCAGUGGGGAAUAUUGGACAAUGGGCGAAAGCCUGAUCCAGCCACGCCGCGUGAGUGAUGAAGGCCCUCGGGUCGUAAAGCUCUGUGGAGAGGGACGAACGCCUGUCGGUUAAUACCCGGCAGUUUGACGGUACCUCUUUAGCAAGCACCGCUAACU